RNAcentral lists this unclassified non-coding RNA (168 nucleotides) under uncultured fungus. RNAcentral's name for it is "partial contains 18S rRNA, ITS1, 5.8S rRNA, ITS2 and 28S rRNA". Lineage: Eukaryota; Fungi. The record is from RNAcentral.
AAGGAUCAUUACAAAAAUCCAAAUUAUCCAUUUGUGAACCAAGCCUAACUGUGGUUAGGCGAGCUGCUUGGCGAGUCGUUUGACUUGCCGGCAACAAAUAAACUAAAUGUAGUCAAUGUGUGAAACUAAAAAGCAAAACAACUUUUAACAGUGGAUCUCUUGGCUCUU